Molecule: non-coding RNA, 148 nt
Filed under: Cercocebus atys (sooty mangabey)
Lineage: Eukaryota; Metazoa; Chordata; Mammalia; Primates; Cercopithecidae
Also listed under: 2 other names
Source: Rfam by way of RNAcentral
GCCGGGCAUGGUGGCGCAUGGCUGUAGUCCCAGCUACUUGGGGGACUGAGGCAGGAGGAUUGCUUGAUCCCAGGAGGUCGAGGCUGCAGUGAGCUGUGACUGCACCACUGCACUCCAGCCUGGGUAACAGAGCAAGACCCUGUCUCAA